AGGCGCAAAUACGCUAGGUGAGAAAGGGCCAAAAGGAAGCAAAAGGGAGGAGGGUAUUUUACUAUUGCCACCUCCACCUCUUUCUCGUCCUCCUGCGCCUCCUCCUUCUGCUGGAAACUCCAUGGAUUCUCGAUUCCCGUGCACGCUGGCUGGUCCUCGAUCGGGCGGCCAUCUUGCGUCCUCCGAUCCCCUGCCCCAAGUACUAAAGAAGACCAGCCGUGCCUUGGCCGUCAUCGGCACCCGUUGCGAUGGGACGGCUUGUGGUAGGUAGCUUAGUGCUCACCGCAGGGCUAUGGCUCUCGGCGAGAGUGCCGAACGCGCUGGCUAACGCCGACGCCAAGCGGCUUUAUCACGACCUUGUUAACGGCUACUCAUCGCUCAUUCGGCCUGUAGGAAACAACUCUGACCGCCUCACCGUCAAGAUGGGCCUUAAGUUAUCACAGCUCAUUGACGUUAAUCUUAAGUCACAAAUUAUGACCACUAACAUGUGGGUAGAGCAGGAAUGGAAUGACUACAAACUGCGUUGGGACCCUGAAGAGUACGGGGGCGUCAGCAAACUCCAUGUACCCGCCGAACAGAUCUGGCUACCCGACAUAGUGCUGUACAAUAACGCCGAUGGUAACUACGAGGUCACGAUAAUGACCAAAGCGAUUCUUCAUCACGACGGCCUCGUUGUCUGGAAACCGCCAGCCAUCUACAAGAGCUCGUGUGAGAUCGAUGUCAAGUACUUCCCGUUUGAUCAACAGACCUGCUGGAUGAAGUUCGGCUCGUGGACGUAUGACGGAUACACCGUCGACCUGAAGCAUAAGAACCAGCAGGACGGCGAUUUAAUUGAGGUCGGCAUCGACCUUUCGGAGUUCUACCUCUCAGUGGAAUGGGACAUCAUGGCGGUCCCAGCGCGAAGAAAAGAGAAGUUCUAUUCGUGCUGCGAAGAGCCGUACCCUGACAUUACAUUUAACAUCACAAUCCGACGAAAGACCCUAUUCUACACUGUCAACUUGAUUAUACCCUGCGUUGCCAUCUCAUUCCUCUCCAUUCUCGUGUUCUAUCUUCCAUCCGAUUCUGGAGAAAAGGUAUCGCUCUCAAUUAGCAUUAUGCUCUCUUUGGGGGUCUUCUUCCUUCUGCUGUCGGAGAUAAUUCCGCCCACGUCGUUAGCAGUGCCACUCCUGGGCAAGUACCUCCUCUUCACAAUGGUGCUCGUCUCAUUUUCAGUCUUCGUCACCAUCGCUGUGCUCAACGUUAAUUUUCGUUCACCAGCCACACACAAGAUGCCCCUGUGGGUGAAGGAAAUAUUCUGUGAGUGGUUGCCGGGUAUUCUUAUGAUGAAACGGCCAGAAGACGACGACGAGGAAAAAGAUGAGGAUGACGAGGAGGUACAAGAGGCUGGAGGCUUAGAGGGAGUGGAAAGCGGUCAGGGAGGGGCCCUACACAACUGUCACGAUAUGCACGACGAUGUAGCAGGCCCAGAUUCAGCAGCAUCUGCGGCUGCGGCGGCGGCGGCGGCAGCGGCAGCACAAAAUCAAGGCAACCUGCUUGACCUGGCGGCUGUCGGGUUCGAUAGCGUCGAAGUGCGCAGCCCGACGGUACCGUCACUACGGUUGCCUCCAGGUCUGCCCGAAGCAAAAUGUGGGUCCGUAGAGCAGCUGCAGUGUUCAUUCCUUGCCGUACAAGGGGGAGCCACGUAUCCUCUAGAGAACAAUGACGACGGAUAUGGAAAUGAUUCGCCUGCCGAGGGCGAAGCUGACACUAAUUCCGAGGAAAGCCGUUGUUCGGUGCAGAAACUUUCGCCAGAAGUCGAGCGACCAGUCAUGAAUGUCCGAUUUGUGGAGCAGCAUAUGAAGAAUGUGGAUAAAUUCGAAAAGAUAAGUGAGGACUGGCAGUACGUCGCCAUGGUACUGGAUCGGGUGUUCCUUUUCUGCUUCACCAUCGCCUGCGUGGUCGGCUCUGCAUGUAUCAUAUUCGAGGCGCCAUCAUUGUUCGAUGACAAGGUGCCAAUCGAUGUGCUACUCUCCAAAGUAGCCCCGCGGGCCGUGGCGUACAGACACGAAAUGAUAUCGAAGGGUGUCCAGCUUAAUAUACCCGGCUAACUCCAGCAGCGAUAGCAGGAUGGUGUGGUUAUGUGUCCGUGUAAAAUUUUACAGUAAAAUCGAUUCUGAUACGCAUACACACGUAUAUACUGUGGUCACCUUACUUACUUACUUACUUCUACGCAAGUUUAGAAACUAAAAUCUGGGAUAACUGGCCCCAUUCGGUUAUACUGUCGAAUGAACUGAUGCUCAAUGCAAGAUAUGUUCGCGACCCGUCCUUGACUAUUGUUGUUGUCGUCAGGCACGUUGGCCUACGCUUAGCGUACACUGAAAUGCGGAUUGACACGAUAGCCUAAGCAAUCAUCGAACGUUUACUUGUUAUGACCACAUAAUGGACGAACGCGCUCGGCUUCACAAAUGAAUUGCCUUUUCAGUACGUAGAUAACGAUUAAGCAACAAACAACAAGACGGUGACGUUCAGAUGAGAAGGUAUGGCCAAUAUAGUAUAUAUAUACUACUUAGUUGACACUGUUGGAAAAGAUGUGAUCAAAAUGAGUAGUUAAAUAUGUCCACCCAGACUUUCUCAGUAGAGUGGUGAAUCAAUGCAAAUGCUGUUUUCACAACACGAAAGAUCCGUGGACCGGCUACUAAGAAAAAGAACAAUUUAACACUUUCGAGUCAGGAACAAACUAUCUCUUCGUAAUCUUGCAGUAUGGAAGUCUUGGAAAUAAUUAAUCUCUGAUAGGAUCUAUGUUUUAUUCUGGAAACUGUUCAAAGUGAUCCACUGUGGAUCGAGAGAUGAAUCACGAAUUGGAUAAGUGGUGAUAACAUGCUUCUGGCAUUCUCAGCCUAUCUUACCCAGUUACUAAGAGAUAGUCUGUCUAAUGCCGCCUGCCACAGCAUACGGAUUUAACGUGCGCGGUGUUGACGUCGAUCAUCUGGUAUUAUUCUAAUUACAAUGAUUUGCUAGAAAGAAAGAGCGCCUACCGCGUGAUAGUACUGUGUCCGGUGUCCGGUACAGUGUCUUGCAACCAAACUAGCAUAGAAGAUGUAAAGUCAGCCAAGCUAUUUGAAAGAACUGGGUUCAAGGAUGUAAGACUCAUCUUUCCCAAUAACGCAUGGGUUUAGCGCAUAGCGUAUCGAUCGAUGCGAAACUGUGCAUCCAGACAUUCGAUGACACGUGUAAUUACUCAGAACGGGCAGUCACUUGCACCUUGAGUACAUUGGGACUCAGAAGCUAUCCAGCUGUCAAGGGUUAUAGGUAUAGUAGAUACCACAAUAAAGAUAAAGCCUGAAAAUAUGCUUCACAAAUAAGUAAUAACUGCUAAUAGUAGUGAUAGUAAAAAAUAGAUUACGGGCGAUGGGUGCUGACACCAAUGCGUCAGCUCUGAAGGUUGAGUACGAACCUCUGCAUGGUGCACGGAACGCGUGGGGCAGUGAAUUAGAACGUUACGUUGUCAUCACUACCAUUCCCACUAGUAAUCUGUUUUCGAAAGGUCCCUCAGUAGAUAUUUGCGAGACGGGGUGUGUGUAUAGUAUGUACGCGAGCAAGUUAGAAGUUAAGUACUGUUCGAAAUAGCCGAAUCGAUCUUUUGUUCCGAGAGCUAAUUAGACACGUACCUCUUUUGGAGAAGGCGCAAGAUUCGUGCUCAGUAUCAAACGGUGGAACUUGAUUGGGGAUUUUCUGAUGGAAACAUUAUUGUUAUAACGCACCAAAUGUUAUGGUAUACUUGUUAUAGCUAUUUAUUUUGGGGAUGAUCAAGGUGUGUCAUGAUAGAAUGCAGAAUGAUGAUUGUUUGCCUUUACCUUAAUAAUAGCAAGGCUUGCGCAAGAAAAGUAUGGAGAGUUUGCAAAGGAACAAACGACGUUAAAGACGGGCGCAUACCAGGAAUAGCCCCAGCUAUUCCUGGUACAUGCCCGAGCUUGAUUUAAUUUUAGCACCGGUUUGUAGGGACACAGGAAAUGUUCCUGUGUUCCACAAACGAAAAAGGUUUGGCCAACGCUUUUUUUAGGAGAAAGCGGGCUCACCGAGAAAACUCUUCUGAGCAGAGGUGCACUUCGGAUAUAAAACGGCUUGAUCACUUUGAACGUCUAGCACAGUGCCGACUUCGCGGUGGCAUUAACUAGUGAGCCAUCGAUAAACAGCUGUGAUCGGUGUACUGCAGGAAGGUUGGAGGGUAGAUGUAUUCUUCAGACAAGGCAUCCUCUAUCGCUCUGGCCCAGAGAAACCGCGACCACUUUCGCGGGCAGUCAAAAUUACUAGUUGUCAGGUUUAUCAGGGGAACGAGUGGCUGUGAAUGCCGUCUUCCGCCGACCGAUCACAAAGCUAAAAAGUCUGUCUUAAAAUGUAGACCACGUUGCUGCAGGAUUUUCAUGCACUUCUGCUUCAUGCCCUCCCAUUGUUGAUGCAGUGUCAGCUAAUGUGGUCAUCCAUCUUUACAUUGACAUUUGCUGUUUGCCUCGUGUUAAGCUCUAUAACAAGAAAUAACAACAACAACUACUACUAAAGCCUCUCAGCUGUUUCUACCAUCAACGUCAGUCGGUUGGCCGGUGUUGUGCCAUCACAAUCGGACCAGUACGACGGUUACGUCGUUGUCCUAUGGAACGGCGGCAGCAGAACAUCUCUCGAUUCGUGACGAUUACGGUGAUAAUAAUAAUUAUGGGAUUGUCUAGAGGGAGCGACGAGUCUGCGAUCAACUCUGAGCAGCGAAUACUGCGAGUAGUAAUUGCCGAUGCGAGCGGCCGCGGGAUUCACAUAAAGCUCGACCACCAUCACCACUACGAUUUCGUCAGCAGAUGUCGAUAUAUAGGCGCGGUCGGGUCAUUCUCAGAGAAACCAGAAGUGACUACGCCGAGAGAGACCAAACACGAGAUGAAGAUGAAGUCGAAAAAUCGGCUAAAAUGGCCGCUCUGGACAACAACGACA
This is a non-coding RNA of Varroa destructor (honeybee mite), 4953 nucleotides long. The record is from RefSeq and is a predicted model, not a curated record. NCBI's taxonomy places the organism in Eukaryota, Metazoa, Arthropoda, Arachnida, Mesostigmata, Varroidae.